Python bivittatus (Burmese python) is the source of this 391-nucleotide long non-coding RNA. RefSeq lists it as uncharacterized. The record is from RefSeq and is a predicted model, not a curated record. NCBI's taxonomy places the organism in Eukaryota, Metazoa, Chordata, Lepidosauria, Squamata, Pythonidae.
GGUCGCUUUGCUGCUAUCGCGUGGUCGUCCGGAUUUUUUGCAGUCCGGAUAUGGGGUUCUUAGCAAACGCUAAGAUACUGCAACGUGUUUCCAUGCGAGGCUACGCGGAGUAAACCCGCGAGCGGAAGGGGAGCUGCUUCAGAGUAAGCCGUGCAUCGUGCAGCGAGAGAGGCGGUCCUGCAGGGGAAGAACCGGAGACGUGGUUAGAGAUGUGGAGAAUGGAGCACCGAUUGUCAGCAAACGUGACCCGAUGAGACUCCAAGGGCCAGAGACGAAGGGCUGCGGGCAUUUCUUGCCGCCACGAUCACUGACCCAACAGCAAGAUUCCAUCGGUAUUAAAACACUGACGAGAGACCCCUUUCAAAGGUGUUAAAGGAAAUAUAAACCAGAA